CAACAGACAGCAGACGAGGGGCCCGCCA
RNAcentral lists this small RNA (28 nucleotides) under Bombyx mori (domestic silkworm). RNAcentral describes it as "ovarian small RNA-12766". The record is from RNAcentral. Lineage: Eukaryota; Metazoa; Arthropoda; Insecta; Lepidoptera; Bombycidae.